GUCGAGGGGCAGCAUUUCAGUUUGCUUGCAAACUGGAGAUGGCGACCGGCGCACGGGUGAGUAACACGUAUCCAACCUGCCGAUAACUCGGGGAUAGCCUUUCGAAAGAAAGAUUAAUACCCGAUGGUAUAAUCAGACCGCAUGGUCUUGUUAUUAAAGAAUUUCGGUUAUCGAUGGGGAUGCGUUCCAUUAGGCAGUUGGUGAGGUAACGGCUCACCAAACCUUCGAUGGAUAGGGGUUCUGAGAGGAAGGUCCCCCACAUUGGAACUGAGACACGGUCCAAACUCCUACGGGAGGCAGCAGUGAGGAAUAUUGGUCAAUGGGCGCAGGCCUGAACCAGCCAAGUASCGUGAAGGAUGACUGCCCUAUGGGUUGUAAACUUCUUUUAUAUGGGAAUAAAGUUUUCCACGUGUGGAAUUUUGUAUGUACCAUAUGAAUAAGGAUCGGCUAACUCCGUGCCAGCAGCCGCGGUAAUACGGAGGAUCCGAGCGUUAUCCGGAUUUAUUGGGUUUAAAGGGAGCGUAGGUGGACAGUUAAGUCAGUUGUGAAAGUUUGCGGCUCAACCGUAAAAUUGCAGUUGAUACUGGCUGUCUUGAGUACAGUAGAGGUGGGCGGAAUUCGUGGUGUAGCGGUGAAAUGCUUAGAUAUCACGAACAACUCCGAUUGCGAAGGCAGCUCACUGGACUGCAACUGACACUGAUGCUCGAAAGUGUGGGUAUCAAACAGGAUUAGAUACCCUGGUAGUCCACACARUAAACGAUGAAUACUCGCUGUUUGCGAUAUACAGUAAGCGGCC
This 796-nucleotide ribosomal RNA is filed under the name bacterium IARFR873. RNAcentral's name for it is "bacterial SSU rRNA". It matches the Rfam family "Bacterial small subunit ribosomal RNA", at positions 61 to 848 of the family's 1533-position model. The record is from RNAcentral.